This 260-nucleotide ribosomal RNA is filed under the name Acinetobacter sp. 1AS113. Its description in RNAcentral is "partial 16S rRNA". It matches the Rfam family "Bacterial small subunit ribosomal RNA", at positions 24 to 284 of the family's 1533-position model. The record is from RNAcentral. Lineage: Bacteria; Pseudomonadati; Pseudomonadota; Gammaproteobacteria; Moraxellales; Moraxellaceae.
UCAGAUUGAACGCUGGCGGCAGGCUUAACACAUGCAAGUCGAGCGGGGGAGGUUGCUUCGGUAACUGACCUAGCGGCGGACGGGUGAGUAAUACUUAGGAAUCUGCCUAUUAAUGGGGGACAACAUCUCGAAAGGGAUGCUAAUACCGCAUACGCCCUACGGGGGAAAGCAGGGGAUCACUUGUGACCUUGCGUUAAUAGAUGAGCCUAAGUCGGAUUAGCUAGUUGGUGGGGUAAAGGCCUACCAAGGCGACGAUCUGU